Molecule: ribosomal RNA, 829 nt
Filed under: uncultured bacterium
Lineage: Bacteria
Description: bacterial SSU rRNA
Rfam family: Bacterial small subunit ribosomal RNA
Source: RNAcentral
GGGCAGCAUGAAAGUUUGCUUGCAAACUUUUGAUGGCGACCGGCGCACGGGUGAGUAACACGUAUCCAACCUGCCUCAUACUCGGGGAUAGCCUUUCGAAAGAAAGAUUAAUACCCGAUGUCAUAGUCCUACCGCAUGAUGGGAUUAUUAAAGAAUUUCGGUAUGGGAUGGGGAUGCGUUCCAUUAGUUAGUUGGCGGGGUAACGGCCCACCAAGACGACGAUGGAUAGGGGUUCUGAGAGGAAGGUCCCCCACACUGGUACUGAGACACGGACCAGACUCAUACGGGAGGCAGCAGUGAGGAAUAUUGGUCAAUGGGAGAGAUCCUGAACCAGCCAAGCCGCGUGAGGGAAGACGGCCCUAUGGGUUGUAAACCUCUUUUGUCGGAGAACAAAACCCGGGACGAGUCCCGGACUGCGUGUAUCCGAAGAAAAAGCAUCGGCUAACUCCGUGCCAGCAGCCGCGGUAAUACGGAGGAUGCGAGCGUUAUCCGGAUUUAUUGGGUUUAAAGGGUGCGUAGGCGGUCCGUUAAGUCAGCGGUAAAAUUGCGGGGCUCAACCCCGUCGAGCCGUUGAAACUGGCAGACUUGAGUUGGCGAGAAGUACGCGGAAUGCGCGGUGUAGCGGUGAAAUGCAUAGAUAUCGCGCAGAACUCCGAUUGCGAAGGCAGCGUACCGGCGCCAGACUGACGCUGAGGCACGAAAGCGUGGGGAUCGAACAGGAUUAGAUACCCUGGUAGUCCACGCAGUAAACGAUGAAUGCUGGUUGUCCGGGUCGAAUGAGACCUGNGCGGCGAAGCGAAAGCGAUAAGCAUUCCACCUGGNGAGUACG